This 372-nucleotide ribosomal RNA is filed under the name uncultured bacterium. Its description in RNAcentral is "bacterial SSU rRNA". It matches the Rfam family "Bacterial small subunit ribosomal RNA", at positions 525 to 896 of the family's 1533-position model. The record is from RNAcentral.
ACGAAGGGGGCUAGCGUUGUUCGGAAUCACUGGGCGUAAAGCGCACGCAGGCGGAUCGUUAAGUCAGGGGUGAAAUCCCGAGGCUCAACCUCGGAACUGCCUCUGAUACUGGCGAUCUUCGAGUCCGGGAGAGGUGAGUGGAACUCCGAGUGUAGAGGUGAAAUUCGUAGAUAUUCGGAAGAACACCAGUGGCGAAGGCGGCUCACUGGCCCGGUACUGACGCUCAGGUGCGAAAGCGUGGGGAGCAAACAGGAUUAGAUACCCUGGUAGUCCACGCCGUAAACGAUGGAUGCUAGCCGUCGGUGAGCUUGCUCUUCGGUGGCGCAGCUAACGCAAUAAGCAUCCCGCCUGGGGAGUACGAUCGCAAGAUUA